GUGACAACUGUUGAUAGAUUUCAAGGUCAACAGAAUGACUAUAUUCUUCUUUCUCUGGUACGAACCAGGGCAGUGGGCCAUCUGAGGGAUGUCCGUCGCUUGGUAGUGGCCAUGUCUAGAGCCAGACUUGGACUUUAUAUCUUCGCCAGAGUAUCCCUCUUCCAAAACUGUUUUGAACUGACUCCAGCUUUCAGUCAGCUCACAGCUCGCCCCCUUCAUUUGCAUAUAAUUCCAACAGAACCUUUCCCAACUACUAGAAAGAAUGGAGAGAGACCAUCUCAUGAAGUACAAAUAAUAAAAAAUAUGCCCCAGAUGGCAAACUUUGUAUACAACAUGUACAUGCAUUUGAUACAGACUACACAUCAUUAUCAUCAG
RNAcentral lists this non-coding RNA (375 nucleotides) under Homo sapiens (human). The record is from RNAcentral. Lineage: Eukaryota; Metazoa; Chordata; Mammalia; Primates; Hominidae.